GCAUAUCAAUAAGCGGAGGAAAAGAAACCAACAGGGAUUGCCCCAGUAACGGCGAGUGAAGCGGCAACAGCUCAAAUUUGAAAUCUGGCUCUUUCGGGGUCCGAGUUGUAAUUUGCAGAGGGUGCUUUGGUGUCGGCUGCGGCCUAAGUUCCUUGGAACAGGUCAUCAUAGAGGGUGAGAAUCCCGUAUGUGGCUGCUUGUCUUCACCGUGUAAAGCCCCUUCGAUGAGUCGAGUUGUUUGGGAAUGCAGCUCUAAAUGGGAGGUAAAUUUCUUCUAAAGCUAAAUAUUGGCCAGAGACCGAUAGCGCACAAGUAGAGUGAUCGAAAGAUGAAAAGCACUUUGGAAAGAGAGUCAAAAAGCACGUGAAAUUGUUGAAAGGGAAGCGCUUGCAGCCAGACGUGCCCGCAGUUGCUCAUUCCUAGUUCACUCGGAUGCACUCUUCUGUGGGCAGGCCAGCAUCAGUUCAGGCGGCUGGAGAAAGACCUGUGUCAUGUAGCUGUCUUCGGGCAGUGUUAUAGGGCAGGUGGAAUGCAGCCAGCUUGAACUGAGGUCCGCGCAUCUGCUAGGAUGCUGGCGUAAUGGCUGUAAGCGGCCCGUCUUGAAACACGGACCAAGGAGUCUAACAUCUAUGCGAGUGUUUGGGUGUCAAGCCCGAGCGCGUAAUGAAAGUGAACGGAGGUGGGAACCCCUCGGGGUGCACCAUCGACCGAUCCUGAUGUCUUCGGAUGGAUUUGAGUAAGAGCAUAGCUGUUGGGACCCGAAAGAUGGUGAACUAUGCCUGAAUAGGGUGAAGCCAGAGGAAACUCUGGUGGAGGCUCGCAGCGGUUCUGACGUGCAAAUCGAUCGUCAAAUUUGCGCAUA
RNAcentral lists this ribosomal RNA (862 nucleotides) under Lophiostoma rugulosum. Its description in RNAcentral is "LSU rRNA". It matches the Rfam family "Eukaryotic large subunit ribosomal RNA", at positions 38 to 919 of the family's 3401-position model. The record is from RNAcentral. Lineage: Eukaryota; Fungi; Ascomycota; Dothideomycetes; Pleosporales; Lophiostomataceae.